AUUGAACGCUGGCGGCAUGCCUUACACAUGCAAGUCGAACGGCAGCGACGGGGGCAACCCUGGUGGCGAGUGCGGACGGGUGAGUAACACAUCGGAACGUGCCCUGGAGUGGGGGAUAACGCAGCGAAAGCUACGCCAUACCGCAUAUUCUGUGAGCAGGAAAGCAGGGGGAUCGCAAGACCUUGCGCUGAUUGAGCGGCCGAUAUCAGAUUAGCUAGUUGGUGAGGUAAAGGCUCACCAAGGCGACGAUCUGUAGCGGGUCUGAGAGGAUGAUCCGCCACACUGGAACUGAGACACGGUCCAGACUCCUACGGGAGGCAGCAGUGGGGAAUUUUGGACAAUGGGCGCAAACCUGAUCCAGCCAUGCCGCGUGAGUGAAGAAGGCCUUCGGGUUGUAAAGCUCUUUCGGCCGGGAAGAAAUCGCACGGGUUAAUACCCUGUGUGGAUGACGGUACCGGAAUAAGAAGCACCGGCUAACUACGUG
Molecule: ribosomal RNA, 484 nt
Filed under: uncultured bacterium
Lineage: Bacteria
Description: bacterial SSU rRNA
Rfam family: Bacterial small subunit ribosomal RNA
Source: RNAcentral